Molecule: ribosomal RNA, 530 nt
Filed under: Bithynia sp. CAK232
Lineage: Eukaryota; Metazoa; Mollusca; Gastropoda; Littorinimorpha; Bithyniidae
Description: SSU rRNA
Rfam family: Eukaryotic small subunit ribosomal RNA
Source: RNAcentral
AAAAGCUCGUAGUUGGAUCUCAGGCAUGGGCGCACGGUCCGCCUCGCGGCGGUCACUGUGUGUAGUUUUCCCAUCCUAGGCUUCCCGGUUGUUUAGCCCAUGGUGCUCUUGAUUGAGCGUUUUGGGUGGCCGGAACGUUUACUUUGAAGAAAUUAGAGUGUUCAAAGCAGGCGCGUCGCCUGGAUAAUGGUGCAUGGAAUAAUGGAAUAGGACCUCGGUUCUAUUUUGCUGGUUUUCGGAACACGAGGUAAUGAUUAAGAGGGACAGACGGGGGCAUCCGUAUUGCGGUGUUAGAGGUGAAAUUCUUGGAUCAUCGCAAGACGAACGACUGCGAAAGCAUUUGCCAAGCAUGUUUUCAUUAGUCAAGAACGAAAGUCAGAGGUUCGAAGACGAUCAGAUACCGUCGUAGUUCUGACCAUAAACGAUGCCAACUAGCGAUCCGCUGGUGUUGCUUCAUCGACUCUGCGGGCAGCUUCCGGGAAACCAAAGUUUUCGGGUUCCGGGGGAAGUAUGGUUGCAAAGCUGAAACU